CCUACGGGCGGCAGCAGUGGGGAAUAUUGCACAAUGGGCGCAAGCCUGAUGCAGCCAUGCCGCGUGUGUGAAGAAGGCCUUCGGGUUGUAAAGCACUUUCAGCGAGGAGGAAGGGUUCAGUGUUAAUAGCACUGUUCAUUGACGUUACUCGCAGAAGAAGCACCGGCUAACUCCGUGCCAGCAGCCGCGGUAAUACGGAGGGUGCAAGAGUUAUUCGGAAUUAGUGGGCGUAAAGCGCACGCAGGCGGUUUGGUAAGUCAGAUGUGAAAUCCCCGAGCUUAACUUGGUGAGUGCAUUUGAAACUAGCAAGCUAGAGUCUUGUAGAGGGGGGUAGAAUUCCAGGUGUAGCGGUUAAAUGCGUAGAGAGCUUGAGGAAUACCGGUGGCGAAGGCGGCCCCCUGGACAAAGACUGACGCUCAGGUGCGAAAGCGUGGGGAGCAAACAGGAUUAGAUACCCGUGUAGUC
RNAcentral lists this ribosomal RNA (465 nucleotides) under uncultured Serratia sp. RNAcentral describes it as "bacterial SSU rRNA". It matches the Rfam family "Bacterial small subunit ribosomal RNA", at positions 338 to 795 of the family's 1533-position model. Lineage: Bacteria; Pseudomonadati; Pseudomonadota; Gammaproteobacteria; Enterobacterales; Yersiniaceae. The record is from RNAcentral.